AGCAUUGUUCAGUUUGGAUGACAAGUUGGAAGGAAAAAUCUUUGAAAUUUACAUUAUAUGGAUAAAUUUUAUGUUAGUCUGUCAUGUUUUUUAAACAGUUCGAAUCUGCCAAUCUCAACUACUGUUCUAUUGAUGACCCACUUUUAAAACCUCAGAAAAAAGUGAUCAUGUGGCUGAAGCAUAAUCAGAUAUUCUUACCUUGAUAUUGUUCCAAAUCUUUGAUAUUAGUAGUGCACUUGCGAUUGAUAUUAUACGCAAGAUAUGGAAUGCUUAAGGAUAUUUGAGGAGUACUAGUUUAUAUGGUUUUGAAUGCUUUGCUUUAUAAUAAUUGA
This 332-nucleotide unclassified non-coding RNA is filed under the name Hevea brasiliensis (rubber tree). The record is from RNAcentral. Lineage: Eukaryota; Viridiplantae; Streptophyta; Magnoliopsida; Malpighiales; Euphorbiaceae.